RNAcentral lists this ribosomal RNA (468 nucleotides) under uncultured bacterium. RNAcentral's name for it is "partial 16S ribosomal RNA". It matches the Rfam family "Bacterial small subunit ribosomal RNA", at positions 28 to 507 of the family's 1533-position model. The record is from RNAcentral.
GACGAACGCUGGCGGCGUGCUUAACACAUGCAAGUCGAACGGAAAGGCCCUGCUUUUGUGGGGUGCUCGAGUGGCGAACGGGUGAGUAACACGUGAGUAACCUGCCCUUGACUUUGGGAUAACUUCAGGAAACUGGGGCUAAUACCGGAUAGGAGCUCCUGCUGCAGGGUGGGGGUUGGAAAGUUUCGGCGGUUGGGGAUGGACUCGCGGCUUAUCGGCUUGUUGGUGGGGUAGUGGCUUACCAAGGCUGUGACGGGUAGCCGGCCUGAGAGGGUGACCGGCGACAUUGGGACUGAGAUACGGCCCAGACUCCUACGGGAGGCAGCAGUGGGGAAUAUUGCACAGUGGGAGGAAGCCUGAUGCAGCAACGCCGCGUGCGGGAUGACGGCCUUCGGGUUGUAAACCGCUUUCGCCUGUGACGAAGCGUGAGUGACGGUAAUGGGUAAAGAAGCACCGGCUAACUACGUG